RNAcentral lists this long non-coding RNA (840 nucleotides) under Coturnix japonica (Japanese quail). RNAcentral describes it as "lncRNA (ENSCJPG00005007556.1)". Lineage: Eukaryota; Metazoa; Chordata; Aves; Galliformes; Phasianidae. The record is from RNAcentral.
AGCACUUGGCUUUGGCCCCAUAUAAGACCCAACAUACAAGUGGAAUUGCUAUGCUGAGGAGAAAUAAAGGUUCUGGGAAUGCAAGAAGAUCAGACCCAAAUUUUUAUUGUCUAUGGACAAAACAACAGCACUGCUAGAAGAAUGGAACAUAUGGCCCUUGUCUUACUGAGAAAAAUCAGGUCAAAGCCAAGUCCAUGCUAUCCCACAGCAGGUGCACCAUGUUGGACACUGGGAGAAAAAAUAAAAUAAAAUUAAAAAAAAAAAAAAAAAGAAAGAAAGAAGAAAAAAAAAGAGUUUUACAUGCUGCUGAUUCCAAAGUGGAAUCAUACAUAUCAGAAAAAAGAAGUUGUGUCUACUUGGGGAUGUUGUGCCAUUGUAAUGGCAGCAGAUGAAGGUCAAGCUUUCACUCCUGAGGCAUGAUCUUCCCUAGGGCAGUAGAAGUGUGUUAGCAGCAAUUGCCUGGCAUGCAACUGAGUCAGAGCCAUGCCUUUAGCUUGGAUCAGCCUUCCUGCUCAGUAGAUUUGCCUUCAGAUUCAGUGGAAAGGAGCUGCAUGCCAAGGGCAGUGAGUCUGGUUAAUCAAGAUAUGUUCCAUGGACAGGACUUCUUUCAGCCCUCCUCUUCAGCUGCAGCUCAACUGGAAGGCCAAAUCCUCUUCAUCCUAAUGGCUUUAUCAGAAAAUAAGGAUGUAAAGUUGGACCAGUGGCACAAUUAGACGCUGAAUUUGCAACUCACUCUAACAGUGUAUGACUUUCCGUAGAAGAAUACUGAUUUGAAACUGAAGAUCAAGAUUUGAGCCAAUGGAUGUCAGAUAUGGAAUUUAUUGGAAAACAUGGAAAAAG